AUGUGAAACAUUUUAGGUUUUUCAAAACAGAAUAUAAAUGUUUUAAGGACAUUAGUAAAUGAAUGACGGUUUUUAUGAGCUGAUCAGACUGGUGAUGAUUCUAUGUGUGAUGUUAUCUGAUCAGCGAAUGGAGUGUGGUGGUUGAGGAAAUUACAGCCAAAACCAAAGAAUCUGAUGUCGUUACUUGCACUCCAUCCGACACCCAUAACUUUUCUUGAGAGUUUGGCGAAGUUUUCAACAGUUUAUCUAAUGAUUUGGAAAAGGAACUGACUCAUCAGGAUGUUCUUAGACAAAAAAUGUUUGUAUGAGAGUCAUAGGAAUGUGAAACCCUAUGGGGAUGACUUAUCAUUCUAGGGGUUGUGUAAAAUUUGCUGAAGUGUGUUUUUCUGUGGCAAUGUGGACGUAGCAAGGAGAGGACAUCCGUAUCCAGUCAUAGACAUACACAGAAAAGUUUACCAUUGUUCACAUAAUAUGUCUCUCUGCUCAGAGAAUCAUUCUCUUUUAGUGAGGAAUGUCAAGAAAGACAUUUCUGUGCAAUGUUCUGAGGUUGAUUUCCCCAACUGCUUUGAUAUGCUGCAUAUUAAAAGUUUUGAACAUUGAACG
Molecule: long non-coding RNA, 603 nt
Organism: Saccostrea cuccullata (small rock oyster)
Lineage: Eukaryota; Metazoa; Mollusca; Bivalvia; Ostreida; Ostreidae
Exons: 3
Source: RefSeq, a predicted model, not a curated record